CCUACGGGUGGCUGCAGUGGGGAAUCUUGCACAAUGGGCGAAACCCUGAUGCAGCAACGCCGCGUGAGUGAAGAAGUAUUUCGGUAUGUAAAGCUCUGUCAGCAGGGAAGAAAAUGACGGUACGUGAUUAAGAAGCCCCGGCUAACUACGUGCCAGCAGCCGGGGUAAUACGUAGGGGGCAAGCGUUCGCCGGAUUUACUGGGGGGAAAGGGAGCGUAGACGGCUGCGCAAGUCUGAAGUGAAAUGCCGGGGCUUAACCCCGGAAGUGCAUUGGAAACUGUGCAGCUUGAGUGCAGGAGAGGUGAGUGGAAUUCCAAGUGUAGCGGUGAAAUGCGUAGAUAUUAGGAGGAACACCAGUGGCGAAGGCGGCUUACUGGACUGUAACUGACGCUGAGGCUCGAAAGCGUGGGGAGCAAACAGGAUUAGAUACCCCAGUAGUC
This 440-nucleotide ribosomal RNA is filed under the name uncultured bacterium. RNAcentral describes it as "partial 16S ribosomal RNA". It matches the Rfam family "Bacterial small subunit ribosomal RNA", at positions 338 to 795 of the family's 1533-position model. The record is from RNAcentral.